CAGUGAGGUGAUGGCCUACCAUCUUUCGGGACUGACCAGUAAUGGAGACACCCUUUUUGCUGCUGAUCACUG
RNAcentral lists this small nucleolar RNA (72 nucleotides) under Lepisosteus oculatus (spotted gar). RNAcentral describes it as "Small nucleolar RNA SNORD2". It matches the Rfam family "Small nucleolar RNA SNORD2". The record is from Rfam by way of RNAcentral. Lineage: Eukaryota; Metazoa; Chordata; Actinopteri; Semionotiformes; Lepisosteidae.